UGGGGAAUCUUAGACAAUGGGCGCAAGCCUGAUCUAGCCAUGCCGCGUGAGUGAAGAAGGCCUUAGGGUCGUAAAGCUCUUUCGCUGGGGAAGAUAAUGACUGUACCCAGUAAAGAAACCCGCUACAUCCGUGCCAGCAGCCGCGGUAAUACGGAGGGGUUAGCGUUGUUCGGAAUUACUGGGCGUAAAGCGCGCGUAGGCGGAUUAGAAAGUUAGGGGUGAAAUCCCAGGGCUCAACCCUGGAACUGCCUCUAAAACUCCUAGUCUUGAGGUCGAGAGAGGUGAGUGGAAUUCCGAGUGUAGAGGUGAAAUUCGUAGAUAUUCGGAGGAACACCAGUGGCGAAGGCGGCUCACUUGGCUCGAUACUGACGCUGAGGUGCGAAAGCGUGGGGAGCAAACA
Molecule: ribosomal RNA, 400 nt
Filed under: uncultured Ketogulonicigenium sp.
Lineage: Bacteria; Pseudomonadati; Pseudomonadota; Alphaproteobacteria; Rhodobacterales; Roseobacteraceae
Description: bacterial SSU rRNA
Rfam family: Bacterial small subunit ribosomal RNA
Source: RNAcentral